Long non-coding RNA from Ailuropoda melanoleuca (giant panda), 3455 nucleotides. RefSeq lists it as uncharacterized. NCBI's taxonomy places the organism in Eukaryota, Metazoa, Chordata, Mammalia, Carnivora, Ursidae. The record is from RefSeq and is a predicted model, not a curated record. The transcript is spliced from 3 exons.
GCCCCCUGUCUGAAUGAGGCAGCUCCGUGGACUGAUGUAGGAGUGAAUGGGGGAAGCCACCACUAUUUACCGAAAAGAGGUUUCGAGGCUGUCCAGAAGCCGGGUGCCAGCCACAAGCAGACAGCAGACUGGGUGGUCAGCCCGGUGACCGUCACUAAGGGGGUGAGAUGGUGAAGCCAACAGACUUGACCAAGGCCCCGCCGAGAGGAAGUGGACGAGUCAGGAUUCAACCCAGGCCUGCCGAGCCUCAGACUUUGGGCCUCCCUCUUUGAGCUGCCAAGAUGCGUGGGCCCCGGAGCCCUUUCCAAUGGUCUCUGUCACGAAGGGUGACACAAAGUGCUACACAGGUGUGAGCACCCGGCACCAUUUCUCUGUCUUGGCAAGUGACCCACCGUGAUGCUGAGACUCAGUUUCCUCACCUUCAUCUCGGGUUCGUGGUGAGGAGUCUAUGGAUGGAAUGCAGAGCCUGUCCAUGGGGAUUCGCGCACUUGGGCUGAAAUGGGAACCUCACAACGUCAGGAAUGUAAAUAACAGAACCUCUGAUGAGGAACAACUUACACAAAGAGGCAUUCGUGUUCUUUAACCAGACGUCUGAAUGAAGAAGGGCGCUGCCGGCAUUAUACCAGCAGCUCACUCAUGUCAGGGCCCUGGGCAACUCUGUGAUUCUCCAGACCUUGCCCCACGGUCCCAAAAUAGUUGUCACAGCCCCAGAUGUCAUCUAUUUGUAGAGCUGUAUCCAGUUCAGCACUACGAACACGGGGAGUGGAUCCUUCUUGGCUGGGGGGCCAUCGUGUGCACGGUAGGCUGUUUAACAGCACCCCCCCGCCCCGGCCUCUGCCCACUGGAGGCCACCAGGGGCCCCCACCACCAAGUUGCAACAACCAAAGAUGUCUCUGGACAUAGCCAUAUGUCCUCAGAGGGACUACAUCUGCCCCAGGCCAGAACCCCUGGGCCAAAGUAGGGAUGACAAUAUUCUCUUAGUGCAGCUUUCUCUGUCUUCAGUAAGGAAAGGACCCCCUCAUUUUCCACUGGCCAGGGCAGUUCACGUGCCAGAGCCCUGAAAGGGAGCAUCUGCUGUCUCUGCCCUUCUAGAAGGAGGCAGCCCCGCCCCUGGAGAGGCAGGGGGUGGGGAUGGCUGUCCUGGGCGCACCCAGCAGCGUCUGCACGAGGGGUCUUCACGGGGGGGGGUGUCCAGGUGUCUUCCCAGAGCUCUUUACAUGCGUGGUAAGGAGUGUCUCCCGGGGUUGGCCUAGCUUGCAGGACCCGCGCAGACGUCUGUGGGGAGCUCAGCAUUUGUCAGGCGCUGUAUUAGUCCUUUACACACGUCCACAUGAGGAAUGGUCACCUCAGCUCUGUGGAGACAGACUAUUCUUGUCCCUCCUAUGCAGAUGAAGAAACGGUGGCUGAGAAAGAUUAAGCCACUUGCCCCGGGUCCCCCAGCCGCCGAAGGGCAAGGUGGGCACCAAAGGCCAUGCAUGUCGCUUGGUGCCCCGUCGGGAGACAGAAACCACACCAGCGGCUCUCAUAGAGAAGGUUCCUUUAAAGGAUCGCGGCCAAGGUACAAAAGAACCGCGAGGCAACCUGAAACUGUGAAGGCACCGCAGAGGGAGCACGUCCUGGGAGCAUUGACCACGCCAGGGCUGGGGCAUCCAGGGAAGGCCCAACCUGCCUUGACUCGGAAGCUUGGAGAAAGAGCCAAAGUGGGGCACCAGUGGCUGAGAAGCACAGGGAGGCUGGGCGUGGGCCUGCUGGAGACACCGACUGCCCCUGCUGCGGUCAGACACACUGGCUAGAUGCCGACGGCCUCAGGGAGCCGGCGCUGGACGGACAGACAGACAGCCUGCCUCCCCCAUCCUUCGGCCCCUCGCAGCUGGCAGUGAGGAAGGGUGGUUUUCAGAGUCCCAGCCCGGCAUCACAGGGCAGAGCACAGAGGGGGCAUGUUCGGGGCUCGGGGACAAUCCUUCAUAACCAGCACGUCUGCCGGCCUCCUUCUCGCCCUGCCUGACGCCGGGAACCAGGAAGGCUUCACCGAGACGGUAGAUGAUUGACUGUCUGUUAGGACUGGCCCGAGAGAUGGGCCAGAUGCCUUUGAGAUCCUUCGGCGAAGGACUCUUGCCUCCAGGAUCACGGCCUUCGCUGUGUGCUCGUGAAGCUAACAGCUCCAGGGGCAGCCUCUGGGUCUCCGCUCUCCUGAUGGAAGCAGGUGCAUGAACUCCCUCGGUGGGCCGGUUCUGCCAAGUUUUCCGUGGAGACCCAACCCAGGAUGGCUCCACAUGAACUCCCGGUGGUUUUUGUAGGCCCCUCAUGGCCUCUGCUAAUUUCUCUUUGGAAUAGAUAGAAUGGUUCUGCAGCUGAACUCUGCUUCGAUCACGCCUGCAGUCUUCACGACACUGAUUCCAUUUCACAGACGAGAAAGCUGAGGCCCACGGUGGUUCGGCAUCCUGCUCGAGGCCACAGUCACUAGUCAGUGGCAGUGGCAGAACCACAGUGUGAAGCCAGGCCUUCUGCCCCCUAACGCUGUCCCUUCCCACCUAACCUCAGGAGGCUGUGACUUUUAAACCGGAGCAAGGAUGUGGUCUGAGCCAUGUUUAACUUGCAAAUCACACAAUGUGUUCCACUUUUAUGCUGAAUUCAUCUGAGCCUUGAUUCUUGUUUGUUUCAAUGGUAUGAUUAAGAAAAGCAUAAUGAUUCUCCUCUGGGGUCAGGUGGCUGUGAUUGACAGGGCCGUGCACACAGCCAGUAGUUCCGCAGUCGCUGCAGAGUGGGGGCCUGUGCUCCUGACCCUCAUCGCCAACCCCCCAGGGCAUGACUUGAGGACAGGACGGCAUAGAAGGGUCCACCAUUUAUCAGGCACGCACUCAGUGCCAGGUGCUCGGCCCUAGGGUGGUACCUAUGAUCCUCGCAAUGUCCUGCAUAGUGAGGACAGCCACACUCUUGUACAGAUCAGGGAGUAUCAGUCCUCAGGUCACGGUUAUUAAGCAGUUGCAGGGUGUGGCUGUAGUUCUGACCUGCUCAGCCUCCCAUCCUCCCUCACUAGUAACAGCACCUCUGUUUUCCUUUGUGGGUGCCUAUCCCUCCCCCACCCUCAGGCCAUGCAGAGUUUGGUUGGCACGGACUCUUCCUCACCCCCAGCUGCAGGGGAAAUUCCUGACUCCCACAUUCCAUCCCCAGAUUAUAAGGAUUCAGCCAGGGGCUAAGUCACCCAAACAAGGCAAAGGAGACUUGGUCCUAACACCACUCUUGAAUUAUUGGGAAUGAGAAACUGGUUCUUUCUGUUGGACUUAAAGACAUAUACAUGGAGUAUCUGGGGUUACAGGAAGGCAUAGGAAGAUGACCUGUCAGAGUAUGACACCCAGGAGCUGGGAGAAAGAGGGGAGGCAGAUUCUUGAUGACAUCAUUUAUAAUGCUGGAUCCAACCCUACCUGAAACCAUCACUUCCUACCCUAGGUUUCUCA